Misgurnus anguillicaudatus (oriental weatherfish) is the source of this 7185-nucleotide non-coding RNA. Lineage: Eukaryota; Metazoa; Chordata; Actinopteri; Cypriniformes; Cobitidae. The record is from RefSeq and is a predicted model, not a curated record.
UCGAGUCAACAGGGAAGCAAGUGAAUGAUUUUACUUCGUAUUUGAAAGUUACUUCGUAUUUAUUUAUUAUGUCUUUAUAUUUAGAGUAAUGAGUGCACUUUUCCGUCCAGCCAUACAACUAACUGGCUUAGCGAUAUUUCUAGCACUCACUGGAUGGCGUUGUUACACAAAAUUUGACGCUGUGAGAAUGAAAGGGACAUGUUUUUAUAUUGACCAAAUUAAAUGUGUUAAUGUAUCUUUCGCGCUCUAUGGCAGGCAGGAUGGACAGAUAAAUACUCGACAUGUUUAAUCUGAGUGAUUUCAUAAGUUAUUUACGCCUGCUGGCUGUGUAAAACGUUGCUUUGUUCCGCUAUUUUGAAUGGAAGCCAAUGGAAGCGCUGCUUUUUUAUCCCCCGAAAAGGGGCGGUGACGAAAUUUACAGUCAAGUUCCCGGAUGUGCCGUGUCGUCCGUAUCGCGAGACGCGCGUUCUGGUUUAACCGAUAUUCUCCUCAAACGAGUGUUCCGUUUUUGUUGUAGAUUCUAAGGAAAAAUGUUUUGUGAAAAAUAAGCAUAGUUUGAGUGACGUCACUUAGUGGCCGCGUCAACUCUCUCGUUAUGCUGCUGCAUAUGACUGGACAGAGUCAGAGUAUUUCACCAAAGAGCCUGGAGUCGGUGGUUCUUUUGUGAUGCUGGGUGAAAUCCGCUACAGACAGACGAUGAGUACCAUGAUCUGAAGAUGACGUGGGAUAACAGUUAAGUAGGUAAAGAGUCUGAGGGAAAACAGCACCUGAGAGAAGGUGGCAGUUCUAACAAGACCGGACAACUGUGAAUGGAGGUGAGGAUGCUUUUAUAGUGCACUAUGAUGGGGUGAUGAGGAUCAAGUGACGGUGAUUAGUAGUUUGGAGAGUACAAUGGUUGUGGGGAAGUGUAGGGAUUCUUCUCAAUUUUUAUUUGUGCAUCCUGCUUUCCUUUCCUUGUUUCCUUCACUCCACCCAUCGAUAAUGCCAUCGAGGAAAAGACGCAUGGACAGAAGAGACAAAGCAUAAAAGCUCCCAUAACACAAGCUGUUUCUGUAUUUCUGAUGUUAAUCUGGAGUACCUAUAGAGUAGUAUUACAUCCUUUAUGCUUACAAUCCUGAAGUAGCCCCCCUCCACCUAAUUUGCCGGGCAACUUGCUAUUAAAGGAUCUUAUCAUUAAGGUUGCUAGAGCUUAUUGCUUUAUUGAAAUUUACAAGGAUAAAAAAGACUCUGAUAGAGUACGAUACAGAAAAUGCAAAUACGGUUAGCAAACUAAAAGCAAAGACCCUCUCUAGGGAAGCCUGCAAGCUUAGUAUAACAAUGCUGCUAUAGCUGCUAAACACAGGGAAGGAGACUUUCUUUUUUUUUAAGAUUUAAAACAGAUUAAAAUGUAAAGUGUAAAAUGUAAACUGUAACUUAGUGUCAUAACACUCUGAAUACCCGCAACAAAUAUUGCUGAUCAUUAUUGACUGGCUAAGGCAUUGCACGCUAGUCAAGUUGACUGUUGCAGGUUUUCUAAUGGUAGAAUACCAAAGGUUGCUAUAUACCUAGUUAAAGUAUCUUUGCUGAUUACUGGUUGCUGUUCUUAGGCUGCCUGCACUCACAGGAGCCCCACCCGUCGCAGAAGUUUGAUCAACAGGAGGCCUGACCAAUCAUAAUUCUUCUGGUCAACAGCUAAUGUUAGUUGUAUUGCGAUCAGACAGGAUCAGAUUUAGGUUUAAAACAUUAUGGUCAUCUACAAGCCUCUGAAAUGUGCACUAUAUAAAGCAAUGGUGAAAGUUUAAGAAACAACAUCUUCAGUUUUCUUCUAAUUUAUAUCUGCAUUAUGUGAGAAGUCACCAAUAUUGAACAGAAAUCAUAGUAAAAAUGGGAUCCAGUCCAUCCCUGUAAAUUUCAGUGGUGUGCUAUUAGGACUCUUGUGUUGUUUGCUUUUGAAUGCCACAAGUUUCCACAAGAUCGUUGAUUCCAAAGUUGAUUAAUUUGAGCUCCAUCGUCUUUGUAUUAACCAGGGCUUUAUUAAUGUUCAUGUCAUCAUUGAAGACACUGCAGUCAUUGCAGUGUUUAGCUCUGAUUUCUUUUUGGUGCAUUAAAUGACGUGCCAGUGGUUCAGAGAGACGACCGUCAUUGUCUAUCAUCAACUUAGCCAGAGUCACGCAGGGAUGUGGAAACUCUAAAACAAGAAUGUGCUUAUCUUUCUUGAACCAGUUCAACAUUUCUACAAUAUGUGGGCUUUUUCUCAGGUUUUAGUAGCAGCAGAUUUAUAAUGAUUUACCCAAAAAUAGAAAUUAGAGUAUAUUUUACUUCCCCUCAUCCCGGUGGUUGGGGACUUCCAGUCUUGAUGUAGACAUGUUGGUAUUUGUCUACCUAAGUCUAUUUGACGACUGUCUGGAGAGCUUUGAAUAGACGUGAGUAUGAAUGUUUGUUAUUAGCGUGUUUUACAGACUGUGAAAUCUGUACAGCCACCAGUGAUUGCCUUUGCUUUUUUUUAUUUAAUUUUUUGAGCUCCAUCGUGUCUGUUUUGACCAGGACAUUGUCAAGCUCUAAAUCCCUGUGAUAGACACCAUAGAUGCGAGCAGUGCUUGGCGCAUUAAAUGAUGGAUUUCUGACAGACGACCUCCAUUUCUCUGGACAAGCUCAAAGAGAUUCAUGCAGGGAUGUGGAAACUCCAAAAUUAUGAUGUACUGAUGUUCCUCUUCAAACCAGUCCAACAUUUCCACAAUGUAGGGGCUUUUCUUCGGUUUAAGCAGCAUCAGAUUAAUAGCCACUUCUGAAUAAGAUGCUCGGCAUGUCCACGCUAGUACAAAAGCAUUAAAAGAGGUUAGCUGAAAAUAGCGGAGAUGUUUAAUUUCCAUGCACUUGUACUAAGAUACAGUGGGGUCUUUAUUUAUGAAUUUAUUACAGCUGCAUUCUGUAACUUUUGCCUCACUAACGCCAUCUCUGUUUGAACUAUAAAACUGCAGUUAUUUGCAGAGUAAUUUGAAAUCCCAGUUUAAAAAUCCCAGAUUGCCUCUUUAUAUUCUUACAUUUUUGGACCCCAUUGUAUAUAAAAUUUUAUAUAUAUAAAAAAUCUUGCUAACUUACCAUUUUAAUGAAACUGUCAGAGAGCCACAACUUCUAAAAAAAAUUGAUGGCGACCAACAAGGGAAAGUAAUCAUUUGUAAGUCACAUCAAACUAUUACUGAUAUAAACAUAUUUAGAUCAAAACACUCAACAUGGAUUUAUGUGUUAUGUCACAUUGUGCUGUUUGAUGAAGAGCAGUUUUACCUUUCUGCCAUCGGAUUUUUGAUAUCCCUCAUGAACUGUACCAAAGCCACCUCUUCCUAUCUGUUUUUCUAGUGUAUAAAGCAUUAUAAAUGCCCCUGAAAAACAAUCAAUACAAAAUGAACAUAAGGCAAUUUUUGUCUCCAAUAACAGUGCUGCUUAUAAUAAAACAGACAGAAUAAAUAUUCAUGUAAUGAAUGUGCAGAUCAUGGAGAGUUGUUCAGUACAUCCAAUGCUAAUCAGCUACUAGCAGAAAAAAACAAGAUGAAUGUUUGUGAUCAAGUACAAGUAAAAACAGCAGGACAACCAUUAAAAAACCUAAAUAUUUCUUUAAACCAGAAAUCAGGACAAGAUGAAGGGAAAAGCUGAAUCAAGAGUCCAUCAGAAUAACACAUUAUAUAUUGAAUACAGGAAGAAGGUAUUACAUAAACGUAUUACAGUAACUGGGCACAGGUUUAAAACAAUUAGGAAAAGAGCAGUUGACAAAAGAGAAAAAUAAAGCUGACAAUAAAAAGCAGAACAAAGUGAACCAGAACAUAAUAACAGUAAACCUACUAGCAGGCUGUUCAUUUUAUGACUGCUUGACUGCAGAGAGGAUGGACCUGGCUGUGGAUCAUUUUGAUCACUUUGACCACUUGGCCCCUGAUUGGAUGGACCAUGUUCAGGAACAGCUGGAUCUUGAUGAGCUGUUUGCUUCAAUUUAGAUGAACUUCAAUUUAGUACCCGCUGGCUUGAGUCCUGUGGGACUAAACUCAAUCAUUUUCACGGCCCUUGAAUGCAGGCCGGAUGGACCUGGCUGACUAUCAGUCUGAUCACUUUGAGCACUUGGCUCCUGGUCGAACAGACCGUGUUUAGGAUCAGCUUUUUCUUGAAGAUCUGUUUUCUCCAAGGUGGAUGAACCAGACUGGCAAUAGACUGGUUCUUCACAGCACGCUGGCUUAAGUCCUGAGGGACUAUUCUGCCUAUCAUCUUUAGGGCACUUGACUGCAGGCAGGAUGGGCCUGGCUGACUAUCAGUCUGAUCUCGUUGAGCACUUGGCUCCUGGUCGAAUGGACCAUCUUUAGGAUCAGCCUCUUCUUGAAGAUCUGUUUUCUCCAACAGCACUUGGCUCCUGGUCGAAUGGACCAUCUUUAGGAUCAGCUUCUUCUUGAAGAUCUGUUUUCUCCAACAGCACUUGGCUCCUGGUCAAAAAGUUGCUAAUUUUAUUACGUAUGGCUGUGGCUAGAACUAAAAUCGUGAUUUAAGAGGAAAAUUACUUACUUUCUGUUAAGAAAAAUAGUUUACUCUCACAACCCUAAAUGGAUGUUUGCCAGUAAUAUCAGUAAUUUCUUACAGUUUAAAGGGGGGAUGAGUUUAUUCACAAUCGAAGAUGUUGAUAGCUCUCAUGUUGAUAGGGAAAGACUAGGACACAAAGACCAGUGAGGAGCCCAGGGAAGAUCCGAAGUGCAAUAAGCGUCGGGGGCCAAACCCUGUGGUGAAGACUCCCUCAUAGGUUCCCCUCAAGUAGUUCAUCCCCACCUCACCUGGUCCCUUAGGUGUCAAACUACAUUAGAUUAGGGUACAAAAACACUCUAUGAUAAAUUUUAUAUCUUUUAUAUUUAAUAUUUUUUAUGUAAGGUUGUAAAAACAAUUGUUAAAGCAAUAUAAUCACAGGGAAGUUGAAACUUAAAAUGUUGUAUGAGAGUACUGCUCUUUUGUGUUUUUCUGUUUGUGUUGCAGAUACAGGACAUUGCCAAAUGCAUGACUGUCAUCAACAUAUGAAGGAGCAGGCUGAUCAAGAGCAAUUGCAAGUGGCCUUAAAAAACUGGAUUGUGUAGGAGCACGGCAGAACCCCAACAGCACUUCCUCUCGGCCAAGGCUUAUGGGAACAGAUUCUAGUGGACCUGCUGGUUACAUACAUACAUACAGGGAACAAUGCAACCUCUGGAACAUCAAGUGGAUGUCCUGGUAUAAAUACAGGGACAAAUACGCCAGUACCCACUGUCAACAGUGAAAUGCAAAGCAAACUGACAGACCUCUAAAUGGGGCAGUGGAGCUUGGAUGGCUUCAGGCAGGACCUGAUAUCAUUGCCAGAAAAUUCUGGUCACAAAGAGGUUAUCAGUAUCCUUAAAGAGGAGCAUCAUAAAAUGAAGCAACUAGCUGAUGGUUGGCUUUGCUAUAAAGCUGCAGUUGUUCUGGAGAAAUGGAGAUGUUUUCAGAGUGAAGAGAGGUUGCUUUAGGUGGACCAUCCAACAGGAGAGAAGAUUGAUUGAAGAUUGCUAAUCCGAAAGUGGAUGCAGAUGUGUUCAGAAAACGGCUACUAAGUGCUGAAGUGCAGGAACAACCCUUGCGUUUUAUCUUGGAUCUCAGGGAGAAACUGGAGGAGCAGAUAAAGAGAUGAUAUCUUACUCUGAGCGAUCAAAUGUCACUUGGUCUCGGCCAUUUUCCUGUAUUCUCAGAGGUAGGCCCUAAUAUUUUUACACUAGUUGUGGUCAUUAUAGUAUACUGAUAACAUACAACUAAAUAUACAAAUGCAUAGUGUUAUCUGCCAUAUUUAAUCCCUGUAAUCAUCUCUUACUGUAUGUUCACACCACCUCUGGCGAGAGCGUCAAAAAAACACUCUGGCUGGCCUGUCAACAACGAUAAAGACAAAGUGUAGAGGACGCUCUGAUGAUCGAAUGCAUUCUCUGAAAUCAUCUCAAGCGGGGGUUUCCACCUUCUGGUUGGUUGCCGCCGAACUGCGUUAUAGCUUCUUACCAUAAAGUUGAGCUGAUUUCAGCUCUCCCCAAUGCUCACACCGUCCAAGACGCGCCACUGCUCUCCACCGGCUAUCAUUGAAAAUGAAAGACUUCCAACCAUUUUUAAGCUCUCGCAGGCAGCGGUGUGAACCCACAGUUAAGGUGAUGCUGCCACAGAAUAAGGGAUGACCCGUCACAUUCUUAGUAGGCCUACUGCAAUCCUUAAACUGAGAAAUGGCUUCAGCAUAAUCUUUGAAACUCUGUCUCACCACCUAUGCCCAGGAAGCUACCCGGUAUCACGAGAAAUCGAGUCCCCACCAGAAAGGGAUUUUUUGGGGAUGGCUGCACCUCACAACUCUUCACUGACCACUGCCUGCGUUUAUGCAUCAUCUAGUCAACAGAAAGUUUUAAGCACAAUGAGGUGGUUUUCCAGACAGGGAUUAGUUUACGCCAGGACUAGGCCUCAGUUUAAUUAGGAAAUAUAAUUCGUUUUAACAAGCAUGCCUUACUGAAAACAUUACUUGUGUUCAUUUUGAGGCAAAACAAAAGGGCACUGAUGUAUUUUAUGAUUUGUCAGUGCAAAUUGUUUUCAGUUUGGACAGAUUUCACAUUUAUUUUAGUCUAGGACUAGUCUGAUCCCUGUCCGGGAAACCGCCCCAAUACGUUUAAAAAAAAUACAGCUGAAUACUUAGCAAUACAUUUAACUGCCAUAUGUUUCAGAUUGUUUAGCCAGAGGACACAGUUUUUGUCUUCACUUGUCAUGGUUGCAUGUGGCUAGCUUACUGAUUAUGUGAAGACUCAAGCAUUUUAACAUAACACACAUAAAUUUGAACUAACUGUUGAAACAUUGGAGACAAUUCAGACAUUACAGUGUGUUUUCCUGUAAAAACACUUUAAAAUAUUAUGCAUUCUAAAAAGCUCAAAUGUCUUACAAUGAAAGUGUUUAUAAAGCUUUGGAUUUUGUGUGAAUAAUGUAAUGUUAGUUAUGAUGUUACUUUAUAUGCUCUGUAAAAGUAAGCAAUAUUACUGUAUGUAAUAAUUUGUGUAAUUACACACCGUGUAAGUGUAUUGCAUGAUGUUGAUUACAGUGUGUAUAAACAACAUGCUUGAAACAUUAUUGACCUUUUAUUAAACUUUAUAAUUGUAAUGUAAUGUAAUAGUAACACUAAAUGAACUAUUCUUAAUGAAGACUAAACCAUAUUGAAGAUAA